UACGGAGGAUGCGAGCGUUAUCCGGAUUUAUUGGGUUUAAAGGGUGCGUAGGCGGAUUGUCAAGUCAGCGGUAAAAUUGAGAGGCUCAACCUCUUCCCGCCGUUGAAACUGGUGGUCUUGAGUGGAUGAGAAGUACGCGGAAUGCGUGGUGUAGCGGUGAAAUGCAUAGAUAUCACGCAGAACUCCGAUUGCGAAGGCAGCGUACCGGCAUCCAACUGACGCUGAGGCACGAAAGCGUGGGGAUCAAACAGG
Molecule: ribosomal RNA, 252 nt
Filed under: uncultured bacterium
Lineage: Bacteria
Description: partial 16S ribosomal RNA
Rfam family: Bacterial small subunit ribosomal RNA
Source: RNAcentral